RNAcentral lists this long non-coding RNA (2294 nucleotides) under Homo sapiens (human). RNAcentral's name for it is "non-protein coding lnc-LMNB1-3:5". The record is from RNAcentral. Lineage: Eukaryota; Metazoa; Chordata; Mammalia; Primates; Hominidae.
GGUUAUUGCGAAGUGCCGUGGCUGCCGGCGGGCGCUGCGGGACUCUCUGCAAUGGGACCCGAGCAGCUCUAGAGGGAGGCGGCGGCCCCAGAAGGCCGUUGGCUGAGAGAGACCAGGAGCCCUCGGAGCCGCCGCGCGCAUAGCGCUGUGGAGCAAGAAGCCAACCGCAGCGCGGGUCGACACGCCAGUAUCUGGCACCGGCAGGAGGCGCGGAACUUAGCUGCCCCAUCGGAACCCCGCCCGGAGGAAGCUGAGGGCCGAGAAAGGAUGAAUUCCGGACCGGGUCGCCCAGCCACAAGUGGAAACCUGGGCUCUCUGGAAAACGUUCUGAUCUCGAUCUGGCUAUCUCUGAAACAAAACUCCAGCCCCGCAAACCUCCCAAAGUUCAGUACACGUCCCCGUCCUCACCCCUGCCCUCCGGGCCACCUGCAGCGGGGGACUUACCGGCGCCUCGGGUCUCCUCCUCCCGACCCAGCGCGUCGCGGACACAGCUGGCGGCCAACAGGAGGCUUGGGCGCUCGACGGCGCCGGAACCUGUGAGACCGUCGCUCUGGGCGGGCUGCCGUGCGGGGUGGCAUCCUCUGCGGUGACUUCUGCUGUCUUUUGGGUCCGCCAGGAUUCCAAAAUCCCAGGCGGGUCGCUAGAAUUAUCCAUCUUCGUGGACAGGAAGCCCCAGAACGAACCACAUCUGUCCCACUCUGCUUCCGCCCUCCUUCCCCUUCGCAAGCUCCUGGCUGGGAUGGAGACAUCGGACGAGCUCGGAGAUCCCGACCUCUCAGGGGUCACUCGCAGCCGAACAGCCUGGAAUAUGGCCUUGUGGGCCCUUCCCGCCCAACCCCCUAGGACCCCACUGCUCAUCUUGUCAACCAGUUUCUGAGCCCCUACCCUGGCUGCAGCACGUGCUCGCACAGGCGCGCUGAGCUACUAACAUAGAAUCAAAAGCAGGGAGUUGGGUGUUCUUGCUUUCCCGCUGAAACCUAGAAUGUAAACAAGCCCUAGACCGUCAGCUGUGGGUGGGUAGGGGCCUCUCCCUGCCUAGAACUGCUCUUGCCAUGGAGAUGAAGAAAUUUACGGAAUGGCUUGGGAAUGAGAAGAUUCAGGUGGGACCAUGGAAGCAAAGCUUGUUCUUUUGUGGAUGCACACCUGGGGAGUACAUCUGUGCAUUUAUCCUCUGUUCACAGCUGAGGCAACUGAGACUGAAACAGGCAAAGUGGUUUGUCCAAGAGCAAAGCCAGGGGCAGGGUGAGAAAUUGUUCAUUCAUUCAAUCAUGCAUCUAUUCUUGGCAAGGCACCAAAGUCUGUGUGGUGGUGGUGCACAGAGAUGGAUAUUGUCUAUGUGGCCUCUACCUUGCAAGAGCCUGCAGUCUCUGAGACAAUAAGCGGUUCAUGAAUUAUGCCUCCUAGAGUGCUCAGACAGCAAGGACCAGGGUUCAGAGGAGGAGAGGGUGAGAGUUCCCUAGGAUUCCUGGAGAGAGUUGGAUUCAGGGCCCAUGAGGGAUGGGUAGAAUUUUGGCAAAUGGAAGUGUGGCUAGUGGGAAUGACAGACAUGAAGGUGGGCAAAUUUAAGAUGUUUUGGAGAAUAUCUGACUACAGCAGGGCCGUUGUGGGGAAAGGGCAGGAGAGUAGAAAGGAGCGGGUUUCCCAGGAUGCUGAAUGCCCAGCCAAAAUACAUGGAUGAAUCCAUGAAUACAUGGAUUUCAGCCCAAGGGCAAUGGGGGUUGGACUUAUCUCUGACUUCUCGUAUUCACUCAUUAUUCUAACAUGUGCUGUACCUAGUGCUAAUAUGUGCUUAGUCUACAGGUAUUUUUCCACACAUCAGCUUUUCUAACCUUCGCGUCACUCUAAUGAGAUACAUAUUAUUCCUCCUUUAAUGGAUUAAAAAAUUGAUGCACUUAGAGGUUGAGACUUGCCUACGAUCAUGUAGCUAAUAACUGACAUAUGUGAGAUUUGAAAGUAGGAUUCCUGACUUCUACAUGGCGACAAAUGGAAAGAACGAGUGUAGAUUCUGGAGAGUGUACUCAGGAUGCCCAUCAAUAACAUGCCCCUCACCUUAGCUCAGUGUUGUUCCAGAAAAAAUAACUACAUAGGAGUGAAAUCUUUUUUUUUUUCUUUUGAGACAGGGUCUCACUCUGUUGCCCAGGCUGGAGUGCAGUGGCAUGAUCUUGGCUCACUGGUUCAAGCAAUUCUCCUGCCUCAGCCGCCCAAGUAGCUGGGAUUACAGGCGUAUGCCACCACACCUAAUUUUUGUAUUUUUAUUUAUAUUUAUUUAUUUAUUUAUUUGAGAUGGAGUUUUG